UUCUUAUCCAGAGUGGCAGAGGGACUGGCCCUAUGAUGCCCGGCAACCAUCAAACUAAGUUUGAACGGUGCUAAUUCCUGCGAGGUGUUAAACCUUGAUAGAUGAGAG
Molecule: non-coding RNA, 108 nt
Filed under: Bacillus solimangrovi
Lineage: Bacteria; Bacillati; Bacillota; Bacilli; Caryophanales; Bacillaceae
Description: SAM-I sequence
Rfam family: SAM riboswitch aptamer (S box leader)
About the family: The SAM riboswitch is found upstream of a number of genes which code for proteins involved in methionine or cysteine biosynthesis in Gram-positive bacteria.
Source: Rfam by way of RNAcentral